UGGGGAAUAUUGCACAAUGGGCGCAAGCCUGAUGCAGCCAUGCCGCGUGUGUGAAGAAGGCCUUCGGGUUGUAAAGCACUUUCAGCGAGGAGGAAGGUGGUGAACUUAAUACGUUCAUCAAUUGACGUUACUCGCAGAAGAAGCACCGGCUAACUCCGUGCCAGCAGCCGCGGUAAUACGGAGGGUGCAAGCGUUAAUCGGAAUUACUGGGCGUAAAAGCGCACGCAGGCGGUUUGUUAAGUCAGAUGUGAAAUCCCCGGGCUCAACCUGGGAACUGCAUUUGAAACUGGCAAGCUAGAGUCUCGUAGAGGGGGGUAGAAUUCCAGGUGUAGCGGUGAAAUGCGUAGAGAUCUGGAGGAAUACCGGUGGCGAAGGCGGCCCCCUGGACGAAGACUGACGCUCAGGUGCGAAAAGCGUGGGGAGCAAAACAGGAUUAGAUACCCUGGUAGUCCACGCUGUAAAACGAUGUCGAUUUUGGAGGUUGUGCCCUUGAGGCGU
Molecule: ribosomal RNA, 498 nt
Filed under: uncultured bacterium
Lineage: Bacteria
Description: partial 16S ribosomal RNA
Rfam family: Bacterial small subunit ribosomal RNA
Source: RNAcentral